Molecule: long non-coding RNA, 1568 nt
Organism: Poecile atricapillus (Black-capped chickadee)
Lineage: Eukaryota; Metazoa; Chordata; Aves; Passeriformes; Paridae
Exons: 3
Source: RefSeq, a predicted model, not a curated record
AAAAAAAAAAGUAGGUUUAGAGUCAAUCUUUCUCACAGAUUCAUAGCUCUAUGAAUAUAAUAUAAUUUAGUAUAACACUAUACAAAUUCACAGGAACUUUUCCUAGUCUUUCAGACCAGGAAAAAUGCAGUGAAUAAACAUCUCUCCUGAAUUUUGCCCUGCACCAGGACUUCAUUGCCUGAUCCAACACAAAGAGCAUUCCCACUGCCUUACAAAGGUUGAGAUCUGUUAAAAGGUGUUGAAGAAGAUAGAUACAUAAAAGAAUCCUCCAAGAUAAAAAACCUUCCUGGGGCCUUACAAAAAGAAUACAAGAACAAUGAUAUCAUACCUCAAGAAUAACAGAAGUUUUAUAUACCACAUUAUGAGAAUGAGACAAAAAAUGUUAAUAGAAAUAAUAUUUUAAAAUGCAUAAGGAUCUUUUCACUGCUUAUAUUUUCAAUAUAUUGCUGGUGAUAGGAUCUGACUGAAUGAGUUCAUGGGGUAAUGCAUGCAAAUACUUUAGAUGAUUUCACAUUGAAAAGUAUUUAAAUAUUUACAUUGUGUGUAUUGCUUUGAAAAAAAAAUUGUUAUUAAUGAAUACAUACUCUACUGCAGAAUCUUGAACACUAAUGGUGGGUUGAAAUCUGCAUUUAAAUCAUGUUUGAGGUUGGAGCUCAUCCUGUAUGGUCUUAAUAAGCUGUUAAUCUCACUUCCAUUGCUGGAGUCUUCUGCACUUUGGCUACACAAACCAAUAAAAUUUUCCUUUUCUGUCAUUGCUUACAUGACAAGCAUUUGUAAUGUUUUAAAAAUCUUGGAUGAAAUUUGCCUAAUAUAAUAAGUCCUUAUAGAAAAGUUACUGUUCUAAAUGAAAUAUGUGAACAUAUAUGGGAAGCUGAAUGUCACAAAAACCACAGGAUUUCCUUCCAGAGCUUCUGCUAGUAUACAGAUAGGACUGAGCUUGAGUGGUGUGUUUUGUUCAUUAAAGCACGUUUCUAAUUUAAAAUCUUAUUCUGAUACUUCCUCAUGCAUUGGUGCAAAUAGAAAAUACAGUUCAAAUUUAUAACUUCAAUAAGAAGUUACAAGGCAAUGCUCCAAAAGCAAUUCUCAUAAAUAGUUGUAUUUUUAUGCUGCCAUUAUUGCAUAUUUCAUAAUGAAACUUCAAAUAUCUGUGUCUAGACAUGUAAUCUUCUUCAGCAGAGUAAAUAUAGACUGUACACAUACACAUUCAAAAAACACUAUAUUGGAAAAAGAUAAGUAAGUUGGCAAAGUCAAGGAAUACAAAGUUAGGAUAGGAAAUGUCAGAAUUUAGGAACUUAUAACCUCCUAUCAUUUGAAAUUAUUUCAGGAGUUUGAUAUGAGCUGCACUAUUGAUCUAAUAAUCUAUUCCUACUUCACCUGCUUUCAAGCAUAUUGCAAUUUUUUAUUUUUAUUUCAAAAAAUGUGUUCUUCCUUUAAGCGUAUUUUCUACAGCUUAUAUUAAGGUUUUGUUUUUCUAUAGAAUAUAGAGUUGGUCUUAGCUGAUAUGAUCAUUAAUAGAUUGGUAUGACAAUGUGAUCUGUCCUGAUAUCUCUAAUUGUACAAGGCAUCAA